UACGGAGGGUGCAAGCGUUAUCCGGAUUCACUGGGUUUAAAGGGUGCGUAGGUGGGUUGGUAAGUCAGUGGUGAAAUCUCCGUGCUUAACAUGGAAACUGCCAUUGAUACUACUGGUCCUUGAAUUUUCCGGAGGUAAGCGGAAUAUGUCAUGUAGCGGUGAAAUGCUUAGAUAUGACAUAGAACACCAAUUGCGAAGGCAGCUUACUACAGGGAACAUUGACACUGAGGCACGAAAGCGUGGGGAUCGAAACAG
RNAcentral lists this ribosomal RNA (255 nucleotides) under uncultured bacterium. RNAcentral's name for it is "partial 16S ribosomal RNA". It matches the Rfam family "Bacterial small subunit ribosomal RNA", at positions 524 to 776 of the family's 1533-position model. The record is from RNAcentral.